Molecule: long non-coding RNA, 296 nt
Organism: Dicentrarchus labrax (European seabass)
Lineage: Eukaryota; Metazoa; Chordata; Actinopteri; Moronidae
Exons: 3
Source: RefSeq, a predicted model, not a curated record
GGAGGGUGCGGGGGGAUUUCUCCAGUCGUAUACCCUGCAGAGACACUCUCUCCUGGGAGACGGCAGACACGCUGCAGCUGAUUGAAUCAUGCUGGAGUGAAACCAAGUCUUCUGUGAUUCAGGAUCAGAUGAGCUCUGUCCUGAGACCCGCUGAUGGAAUUGACAUGCAGCGCAGACAUCAGCAGAGCUCUCUGGGAGAGCGAGGUGUUUAUUUCCUGAAGGUCAGGCCUUUUGUGUGGAGAAACUUCUUGCCAGAUGAGAUAGGGGAGUAAAUUGCAGAUCUAUCAUUCCCUCCC